CGCCUCCCUGCGACUGGCGUCGAAAGCGCCGCCGCCCUCCUCCCGCGGAGUUGAGCAGUGAAUGCGCGGGGUACGGCGGCACGGGGGAAGCUGCAGCGGUGGCCGUGAGCUCAUUAACUCUCUCGCCGCCGGGCCCGGCCCCGUGACCGGGCCUCUGCGCCGCCCUCGUGGGGAGGUCCGCCAUGAAGACCGGCGCGGUAGCUCCGCCGGCGAUCGGUGGCGGAGCCGCCGCCACCUGCCAUCCCCGGAGUAGAAGUGUUACUUAUUUACUCUCUCUGGCUCCAGAUAUUGAAGAGCCUCCUAC
This 304-nucleotide long non-coding RNA is filed under the name Spirodela polyrhiza (greater duckweed). RNAcentral's name for it is "long non-coding RNA (SPOL_LNC000182)". The record is from RNAcentral. Lineage: Eukaryota; Viridiplantae; Streptophyta; Magnoliopsida; Alismatales; Araceae.